GGUGCGAUGGUUGUCGUCAGCUCGUGUCGUGAGAUGUUGGGUUAAGUCCGCAACGAGCGCAACCCCUAUUGUUAGUUGCCAUCAUUCAGUUGGGCACUCUAGCGAGACUGCCGGUAAUAAACCGGAGGAAGGUGGGGAUGACGUCAAAUCAUCAUGCCCCUUAUGACCUGGGCUACACACGUGCUACAAUGAUUGGUACAACGAGUUGCGAGUCGGUGACGGCGAGCUAAUCUCUUAAAGCCAAUCUCAGUUCGGAUUGUAGGCUGCAACUCGCCUACAUGAAGUCGGAAUCGCUAGUAAUCGCGGAUCAGCACGCCGCGGUGAAUACGUUCCCGGGCCUU
Molecule: ribosomal RNA, 341 nt
Filed under: uncultured Streptococcus sp.
Lineage: Bacteria; Bacillati; Bacillota; Bacilli; Lactobacillales; Streptococcaceae
Description: bacterial SSU rRNA
Rfam family: Bacterial small subunit ribosomal RNA
Source: RNAcentral